UGCAAGUCGAGCGCACCCCUUCGGGGGCGAGCGGCGGACGGGUUAGUAACGCGUGGGAAUGUACCCUUCUCUAAGGAAUAGCCACUGGAAACGGUGAGUAAUACCUUAUACGCCCUUUUGGGGAAAGAUUUAUCGGAGAAGGAUCAGCCCGCGUAAGAUUAGAUAGUUGGUGGGGUAAUGGCCUACCAAGUCUACGAUCUUUAGCUGGUUUUAGAGGAUGAUCAGCAACACUGGGACUGAGACACGGCCCANACUCCUACGGGAGGCAGCAGUGGGGAAUCUUGGACAAUGGGCGCAAGCCUGAUCCAGCCAUGCCGCGUGUGUGAUGAAGGCCUUAGGGUCGUAAAGCACUUUCGCUAGAGAUGAUAAUGACAGUAUCUAGUAAAGAAGUCCCGGCUAACUCCGUGCCAGCAGCCGCGGUAAUACGGAGGGGACUAGCGUUGUUCGGAAUUACUGGGCGUAAAGCGUACGUAGGCGGAUCAGAAAGUAUGGGGUGAAAUCCCAGGGCUCAACCCUGGAACUGCCUCAUAAACUCCUGGUCUAGAGUUCGAGAGAGGUGAGUGGAAUUCCGAGUGUAGAGGUGAAAUUCGUAGAUAUUCGGAGGAACACCAGUGGCGAAGGCGGCUCACUGGCUCGAUACUGACGCUGAGGUACGAAAGUGUGGGGAGCAAACAGGAUUAGAUACCCUGGUAGUCCACACCGUAAACGAUGAAUGCCAGUCGUCGGGCAGUAUACUGUUCGGUGACACACCUAACGGAUUAA
This 762-nucleotide ribosomal RNA is filed under the name marine sponge bacterium PLATEmucin+(1)-33. RNAcentral's name for it is "bacterial SSU rRNA". It matches the Rfam family "Bacterial small subunit ribosomal RNA", at positions 56 to 863 of the family's 1533-position model. The record is from RNAcentral.